GAGUGAGGGAAGGGGUGACUAGUGGCAGAGUGAGGGAAGGAAGGGGUGACUAGUGACAAAGUGAGGGAGGUGGUGACUGUCACUAGUCACCACCUCCCUCACUCUGUCACUAGUCACCACCUCCCUCUGUCACUACUCCCUCCUUCUGUCACUAGUCACCCCCUCCCUCACUCUGUCACCUGUCACCCCCUCACUCUGUCACUAGUCACCCCCUUACUCUGUC
Molecule: non-coding RNA, 223 nt
Organism: Pelobates cultripes (western spadefoot toad)
Lineage: Eukaryota; Metazoa; Chordata; Amphibia; Anura; Pelobatidae
Source: the annotation of a GenBank genome assembly